Long non-coding RNA from Centruroides sculpturatus (bark scorpion), 804 nucleotides. RefSeq lists it as uncharacterized. The transcript has 3 exons. The record is from RefSeq and is a predicted model, not a curated record. Lineage: Eukaryota; Metazoa; Arthropoda; Arachnida; Scorpiones; Buthidae.
UUGUUAUUCGUCAAUAUUAUUUUCGUUUACGAGAACACAUUUUUUUUUUUAAACUAAUAAUUUUUAUUUAUGAUAUUAAUACAGAAGAGAUUUUUGAGAUAUUUUGCCAUUUUAUUGGGAACCAUUUAUAGAUAACUGCGGGGAAAUUUACGUAUAAAUAACACAGCUGCAUCCCGGUACAUUCAAAACGUACAAAUACAGCUAAAUGAUAAUGCCGCUGACACAACGAAAGCAUUUUAAACCUAUGUUAACACAGAACAUUUCGUAAUAAUACGUAAGUAAAGACACAGUUCGUAUAAUUAUCACCAGAUGGCAUUAGCGUCUAAAGGGUGACACGUUGACAUUCUUGACUUAUUAUACAGAUAAUUUCUAAUGUAAAGUCACGUCUAUGGAAUAUAUAUAGGCCCUCCAUGAUUAAGAUACAGAAAAAGGUGGACUUAUCGAACCUCUUCUGUCUGCAUCUGGAGUGGAUUGAAUCGAAUUGAUGGAAUAAGGCAACGCAAUACGUGAAAGAUCUGCCAAAAGGGUGAGCUUCUCGGUGGACGUUUUAUGGGAAGGUCCCUAUUUAGGCGAUAAACACGUGAUAUGGGAAAUUAUCUCCUACAACUCCUAGACAAAAAUCCUGUUAUCCGAUUUUUUGUCAUUUUAUUUCCAUUUGUUUGAGUUAAUUUGCCUGAUUAAUUGGUAUAAUAAAUAUACAUAGACAGUGUUUAUGUAGUGUUAAAAAAGUUUUGUACUCUAUGUUAUUCGUGAGAAAAUGUACACUAAACUUUCAGUUAAGUAAAUUUUUAUCUAUGAGUUGUA